CAAAGCCGCGAGGCAGAGCAAACCCCUAAAAGCCAUCCCAGUUCGGAUUGCAGGCUGCAACCCGCCUGUAUGAAGUUGGAAUCGCUAGUAAUCGCGGAUCAGCAUGCCGCGGUGAAUACGUUCCCGGGCCUUGUAUACACCGCCCGUCACACCAUGAGAGUCGGGAACACCCGAAGUCCGUAGCCUAACCGCAAGGAGGGCGCGGCCGAAGGUGGGUUCGGUAAUUGGGGUGAAGUCGUAACAAGGUACC
RNAcentral lists this ribosomal RNA (250 nucleotides) under uncultured bacterium. RNAcentral's name for it is "partial 16S ribosomal RNA". It matches the Rfam family "Bacterial small subunit ribosomal RNA", at positions 1250 to 1500 of the family's 1533-position model. The record is from RNAcentral.